GGGUGAGGCUCGAUGCCUGUCCGGCUUUGAACAUGGCCAAGUGCUGCCCUUGCCCCCUCCUAGGUUUUCCUGAAGCCUGGCGUGGUCUCCAGACUGGAGAAGCAGCGGGACAAGCUGAUCUCCCCGAUGGUGAUGCUCCUCCAGGCUGCCUGCAAGGGCUUCCUCUCCCGUCAGAAGUUCAAGAGGUUGAAGAUCCAGCGCCUGGCCGUGCGGUGCAUCCAGAAGAACCUGGCGGCAUACCGGGUGGUGAAGGAGUGGCCCUGGUGGCAGCUGCUGUGUUGCCUUCGGCCCAUGCUUAGCACGCACGUAACAGAGGACCAGCUGCGGGCCAAGGAGGAGGAGCUUGCGGUGGUGAGAAGAAAGCUAGAAACGUCUGAGCAGUCACGGC
This 388-nucleotide long non-coding RNA is filed under the name Crocodylus porosus (Australian saltwater crocodile). RNAcentral's name for it is "lncRNA (ENSCPRG00005010989.1)". The record is from RNAcentral. Lineage: Eukaryota; Metazoa; Chordata; Crocodylia; Crocodylidae.